CGGGGGAGCAAGCGUUGUUCGGAUUUACUGGGCGUAAAGGGCGCGUAGGCGGCCACUGCAAGUCAGUUGUGAAAUCUCCGGGCUUAACUCGGAAAGGUCAACUGAUACUGCAGGGCUAGAGUGCAGAAGGGGCAACUGGAAUUCUCGGUGUAGCGGUGAAAUGCGUAGAUAUCGAGAGGAACACCUGCGGCGAAGGCGGGUUGCUGGGCUGACACUGACGCUGAUGCGCGAAAGCCAGGGGAGCGAACGGGAUUAGAUACCCCGGUAGUCCUGGCCUUAAACGAUGGAUGCUUGGUGUCUGGAGUUUUAUAGUCUCCGGGUGCCGUAGCUAACGCGUUAAGCAUCCCGCCUGGGGAGUACGGUCGCAAGACUG
This 373-nucleotide ribosomal RNA is filed under the name uncultured organism. RNAcentral describes it as "bacterial SSU rRNA". It matches the Rfam family "Bacterial small subunit ribosomal RNA", at positions 527 to 896 of the family's 1533-position model. The record is from RNAcentral.